CGCGUAGGCGGACUCUUAAGUCGGGGGUGAAAGCCCAGGGCUCAACCCUGGAAUUGCCUUCGAUACUGGGAGUCUUGAGUUCGGAAGAGGUUGGUGGAACUGCGAGUGUAGAGGUGAAAUUCGUAGAUAUUCGCAAGAACACCGGUGGCGAAGGCGGCCAACUGGUCCGAUACUGACGCUGAGGCGCGAAAGCGUGGGGAGCAAACA
Molecule: ribosomal RNA, 207 nt
Filed under: uncultured bacterium
Lineage: Bacteria
Description: partial 16S ribosomal RNA
Rfam family: Bacterial small subunit ribosomal RNA
Source: RNAcentral